Molecule: ribosomal RNA, 332 nt
Filed under: uncultured bacterium
Lineage: Bacteria
Description: bacterial SSU rRNA
Rfam family: Bacterial small subunit ribosomal RNA
Source: RNAcentral
AUUGAACGCUGGCGGCAUGCUUUACACAUGCAAGUCGAACGGCAGCACGAGUGCUUGCACUUGGUGGCGAGUGGCGAACGGGUGAGUAAUACAUCGGGAACGUGUCCUAAAGGUGGGGGAUAACGCAUCGAAAGAUGUGCUAAUACCGCAUAAACUCUACGGAGCAAAGUAGGGGAUCGAAAGACCUUGCGCUUUUGGGAGCGGCCGAUAUCUGAUUAGCUAGUUGGUAAGGUAAAGCUUACCAAGGCGACGAACGAGUAGUUGGUCUGAGAGGACCGACCAGCCACGACUGGGACUGAGACACGGCCCAGACUCCUACGGGAGGCAGCAGU